Molecule: long non-coding RNA, 9684 nt
Organism: Ctenopharyngodon idella (grass carp)
Lineage: Eukaryota; Metazoa; Chordata; Actinopteri; Cypriniformes; Xenocyprididae
Exons: 6
Source: RefSeq, a predicted model, not a curated record
CUCACCCGCCUCGAGUGAUUGUCAUUUAUCAAUUAAAACUUUCUCCGAUAAUAUCACUAAUAUGAUUUCACAAUAACUCUAGAACAAAAACAAACAGCCUGUUAUUCAAAACAACUGGUGAUGCAAUUAGUUGAUAACAGCAAGCUCAUUAUCUUCCUCAACAAACUUUAAUAGUGAAUAAUAAACACAGCCCAUAUAUUAUGAUGCCACUUUAUAAUAAGAUUCUGUACAUUUACAUAAUAUAAAUAAAUAAUACAUUUAAAAAAUAUUUAUUGAACCUGUGUGCAUGUGUGUAUCACAUCUUGUGUGAUAUUCUGUACUCUAUGAACAGUUUUAUCAUUUUAAACUUUUAUUAUGCAAACAACUUAAAUUGCCUCAUAUUAAUUGAGAUAUUGUUUCAAAUGAGAUAUUUACUUUUUAAAAAUUAAUUUGUCACCACAUACUGUUUAAAAUGAAUAUUGAAGGCAAAUUGUGGAAACAGCAUAAAAAGAAAAAAUAUGCAUUUAUCCAUUUACAUUUGAGUACAUUAUACAUAAAGUCUUGAUGUAGAUAAAAAUGGAUUUAUUUUCUUGUAUUGUCUCUUUAUAUCCUUUCCUUAAUUUUUUAAUUACUUCACCAUAUUCUACAUACUCUAUUUCUGUACUAUGUUAUUCAAUUAGGCAAUAUUGUGAAUGUCUCUCUGACUCCCGGAUUACAGAUGGAUUUGAUUGGUGUUAAAUGUGGUAAAACUACGAUCUGUUCUCUCCUAACCUGCUUUAUACAGUUCUUUGACUUUACGGAUCUCCACAUCUAAAAUCUUAAAUCUUUAAUAAACACUGUCAUCACAUCUUGCAGGAUGUUUAGUUUAUUUUUUAGGGUUUACAAGUACCGUGUGAUUAAAAUGUGUGAUUUAAACACUGGAAUAACAUCCUCUGCCCGUCUUCUUCUCUUGACAGCAGCUUAAUGAGAGCGUGGUGAAGCUGACCAGCUGAGGAGCCGACAGGAGCCGAGACCGUCGCUCCGGCCGACCACCCGUGAGUCCGUCUGCGUCCACCGCACCGAUCCAAUUAAACACAUAGCUGCUGCUUCCUGUCUUAAUUAAGAAAAAAAGUAGAUGAGCAAGCGAAACAGAAAAAAAUCUGAAUAAUAAUUAAAAUGCAGCAAACCCCCAGAAUAAGUAAUUUCUGCUGUGCGUUGAAGCGUGCAGCUGUACGAGUCAGCAGGAAAUCACACAAACAAACACAUGCAGCAGCGCUGGAUUCUGCCUGAAGCGCACAUUAAAAUGAUUGUUUGAUCUAGGAAUGAUUGUGACUUGUGCAGCAGUGACCCCGCAGUGUGUGAGGGCUUCGCUGUAGAUCAGGGGUUAAAGGUCAAGUGUGUUGUUUCCACACCAUUACGAGCACCAAACAGAGCUGCAAUAAUAAUGUCUGUUUCUAAAACUGGUUGUUGUUGCUCAGACAAACACAGCGAUGUUGAAAACAGCACAAAUCUGCAGUCUUUACUCUUCAGGAAAUCAGCAGAGGAACGCUGACUUACUUAGUUUAAACUAGGAAUAAGAGAAAUUAUUUUAACAUCAAAAUAAUCACAAACAGCGCCUUUGAAGAUCUGGGCUGGUAACCAAAUAGUGAUCAUACAACUGUCUGGGUUACUAAAAAAGGCAUAAUUUUAGAAGAUUUGUGAGUAUUUUGAAUGAUCUUAUAUUUUUCUGUCUGUGUCUGAGAACGUGCGCCGGGCCGAGGCGGCGAAGACCUUCAAGCGUCAGGAGGAGACGAGCCUUCAUCUCUUAUCUGGGAUAUUUCACCGCCUGGACGACGCCUGGAGGAUCUACCUCAGCCGGAUCAAGCUCUGUUCCACAUCUCAGCCAUCACUGCUACAGACUGAAGAUUGUUCAUGUGAGCAAAAAUUUGCAUGUUUGAUUAAGGCCAGUGUGGCUUUCGUUUGAAAUCUGCAAGCAUAAUUGUUAAAGUCGGCAUGAAAUGUUCUAGUGUUUUCUUUCCUAUUGUGCCGUAUAUCCGAGUGAAAUGCUUCUGGAUGAAGAACAAAUGUAGGGCGGGGCUGAUUUUGGUGGUCGGAUCAGAACUCUUCUUCUUCUAGUGAUGUUCCUCUGAGCUUUUCUCUUUGGUAAUGUCUCUCAGCCGUCUCUCUUUCUACAGUCUUUCUUCAAAUCUCCCUCUAGCUCACUACUUGACUAGUUGACUACUGUCAACAGACAGAAAAUACAUUUCCACCAUGAUUUAGGAAUGAAUGUUGUAUAAAUCAGGGUGAAUGAUUUAUGAACAAACCUUCAGAAUAUAGAUAUGAAUAAAACUGUAAAGUCUGGUUUGUGUAAAGCUGCUGAAGUGGAGAUUUCUGACUGAAACUCACUGACUUUAAAGAUUGAAAUCUAUGGAUGAUAAGAAGUAAAGUUCAAUUUAAAUGUUUAUUUUUAGAUGUUUUUUUUUACACUAGUCUGAAAGAAGCAAAAUAGAGCUCAAAACUGAGCAGUGCAUGAAAAACACUGGUUUUGUCUGUAGUGUCUCGCCUUAAAACAACUGUUGCAUGAAGGUUUUUUGAAGAUUUUUUUUAUAAUUAUGUUGUUUAUUCACCCUCACAUCGUUCCAAACUUGUAUAUUGUUUGUGUGUGUGUGUGUGUUUAAACACAAGAGAUAUUUUUGAAGAAUGUUACACUCCAUACAGCAGCGUUAUAUAUUUGAGUUUGACAGUUUCUAACUUUCUUCUCCUUUGAUGUUCCAUGAAAGAAAGAAAGUCGUACAGAUGUGGAAGAUCAUUAUGGCUCCUGCAGUAAAUAAUGAGCCAAUUCUCAUUUUUAAUCCACAACGGCAACAUGAAGAUUGGCGACAAGCGGUGCGAGUACGACCCCAGUUUCCGUCUGAUCUGGCGAACCCUCACUAGCAGCCGAUCUUCAGGCUCCGUGAACGCUGGUCAACUUCAGCGGGACGCCGGGAGGAUCUCACGGUGCUUCAGAUGUGCUUCAGAUCAGAUCCUUCUCUCCACACUUAAUUACGGGACUCUUUAGCAGAUGUUAUUUGACAGGUGUUUGUGAGCUUAAUUGGAUUCAUCAGUUUCUGAGGUCUAGAUUGGCUGAACUCAGGGAUAAUUAGUCAUCAUGUGGUCAGUCGUUCCAGUUCUGCGUCGUAUCAGAAUAUUAGAUGAUUGAGGAAGAUCCACACGCUGUUUCCCAGAGAGCGUCUGUGUUCUCACCUUUACUUAUAAAAGGUUAAUUAGUGGUUCUCUGUUUGCACCUUCAUGUAUGUAAUCACACACUUUCCCUGAGCAAUUUUGCUAAUGACCAAUGAGAGCUUCGACUAUUGGCAACACAUUUGCAAAUUUAUAUUAGCAUUAGUGUAUUAGCAUAACAUUACUGUAAGUAAUUAUCUGGAAUGGUCAAGCAAGCGUUUGUGCCACAGGGUUGAAUUUCCCAUUAAGCCUCUCUCUUUCCGUAGAGGAAGCCGCUUAUUUUUCUCGCUUUAUUUCAUUUCCUCUUCCUGUAAUGUGUGUCUGAAGCUGAAGCUGAGGGUUUUCCUUUGCGACAACAAAUUACAACAAACCAAAGAAGUCUUUUUAAUAACUGACAGGGAGUGAAUGCGGUUAUUUCGAGAUGUGUGUGCCGUAAAAUUGAAAUGUUACUUAAUGAAGCUUGAUUAAUUAGUGUUUCACAGCUGAGAUCCUAAGGAUGGGGAAAAUGCUGCCGAACUCUCUUAUCAUCUUAAUUAAUAUUGAAAGUUGUAAGAAAAGCGUGACAAUCCCUUAACGCUGAGUAAGAUGACGAGUUUGACUAGCUGUUCGUUACACUCUGGCCAGUCUUUACUGGAUUUUAUAAUUAGAUCUUAUGCAACCACACCACGGGGACGCUGCUUUUUAUUUAGAUGAUUUUUAGAGGAUUUGUUCAUAUUCCCUCGCUUGUGUUUUGCAUUACGCAAUACCAUCAUAACUGCAGUGAGUUUAUCUUAUUACAGAAUUCACAUUGAGAUCUGCUCGUCCGCCAAGGCCAUUAGAUCAAGUAAAUGCCACUGUGAUCCGCGGAGAGACGCAUCAGUCUCGCUAAUGAGCAGGAGAAUUCUGCUCUUCUCAAGUCAUCCUAACCAGCCUCACUUUCUGCUGCAUAAUUACUUGGCUGAAAUGGUAAGUGUACUAACUUUCUUCACAAUAAGGCGCUCAGCUGCUGGUUAAUUGUUUGUUUUUCAGCUCCAGGGUAAUUGGACGCACAAGAUGCCAGUGGAAACGUAAUCAUUAAUGACUGACUCAUUAGGAUGGGAUAGUUUAACGUACCUGUUUUCCUCCUCUCUGAUGAGCCGUCGCACGGCAAGGUCCGGAUCUUUGAUCCCAGCUCUUGUGAGUUUCUCUAGUGCUGUUCUUUGUAAAAGUCUCAUAAAAAGCUCCAGUGGUCACUGGCAGAGCGGCGCUAUUACAGGUUUGUUUUUGUGCAGAUUGACCUCUUCAGGAAUGUAUUGGAUCUUGACAGUUCAAUAUGAGAUGACGGCUCUCUGAGCGUGUCUGUGUGAUUUGACUGCUUUCUGCAGUCCAGAUCGUUGCUCGUGAGCAUUAGCUUCUCUAUCAGACGUGGGGAACGGAUCCAUCAGCGUUGACAGUCCCAUCACACUCGGGCGGUUGCGGUUUUUGAUGUCUUUGGCGAGAGGAAGUCUGUUAAUCCAUGCAAAGACUCCCGCAGAUAUUGAUCUCUCAGCCUCCCAGAUGACUUUGCCCCGUGGCUCUUGUUUUUAUCAAUCAUCACAGGUCUGCACACACGUGUCUUUCUCUGUCUUUUACUUUGUAGUCAAACCUUACAAGAACGGCUUCAGAAUCACUUUGAAAACUCUGGAGGACAACCUGCUCUCACGCCUCUCCUAAGCGUCUGGAAACUUCCUCGGAGACCUUGACCUGCUGGAGGACUUGAAGAUUACCAAACGAACAGCGGCAGAGAUUGAAGACGAGGUGACGGAGGCUGAGAUCAAUGACGUGACGACGGCCCGAGCCUCGCUCCUGUACUUCAUCAUGAACGACCUCAAUAAAAUACAUCCCAUGGACCAGUUCUCUCUCAAGACGCCUCAGCCACACAUGAUGGAGGUCUUGUGUUUCUCCUCCAGCGGCGCUGGGAUCUGUCCCAUGUUAACCGUUCAGUCAUGAUGAUCUACAGCGUCUAGUGUAAUGCUCUUCAGUGUAUUACAACACUAGCUAAUAACACUGGCUACAUUUAUUAUACUUUAUUAUAUAAUACCUGAUCAGAAUUGAAUGCGAUGAGAUAAAAGGACUGGGUACUAUUAUGAAAUAAUACAAAGAUAAUAAAUAGGCAAGACGUCUUCACUGGUUGCAGGCAAACAUCAGUGUAUUCUGUUCAUUUAACGAUUAAUAAAGAAUCACAAACUCAGAGUGUGGACCAGUCUAAUGUCAAAUCAAGUCAGCUUUAUUUAUAAAGCGCUUUUACAAUACAGAUUGUGUCAAAGCAGCUUCACAGUGAUAACUGGAACAUAAUUUUGGCUGCACAGCAGCUCUUAAAGAAAAUGGUGUCCAGCUUAAGUAAGUUCAGUAUUGAUUCGUUCUGCUGUAAGAAUCAACAGUUAUUAAUUUAGUUCAUUUAUCUAUACCGCAGCUCUGGAGAAAACGGUGAUGUCAACGUCCAGCUCAGUUCAGUUCGCACACAAUGGUGUCGAUGCAGGCAGAUCAAAACACUGUUGAAUAUCAAGUGUCCCCGACUAAGCAAGCCAGAGGCGACAGCGGCAAGGAACCCAAACUCCAUCAGCGUCGUUUCAAAAGGCCGUACUGAAAGCCGAGCCGAAUGAGACCUUGAAGCGGCGGGUCUUAAAUCUGAUUGACAGCGUCACGUCCUCGGUGUUCCAGUUCACCACCCGCGGCUCUCCGAGUGUGAUAAACUCACCUACACCGCCCAGCUGUCCUUCCACACGAGUCUCCAACACAGUCCACGCCUCUGCUUCCUCCUAAACACACGGUUCAUCUCCCCUGUAGACUCUCUCUGCCAUGAAGGAGUUUCAUAACCUCGACCGGGACGUUGAAGUCUCGGCUAAACGCUGGAAGAAGUUCACAGAGUCUCCGGAGGAAGAGAAGUUCCCUCAGGAGUGGAAAAAUAAGACGUCACUGAAAAAGAUCUGCACACUGUCAUGUGAACAACCAGAGAUUCUGUGGAGGAGAUGCUGGGCAGUAAAUAUGUGACGGGACGCUCGCUUAUCCAGUCGACCCGCCGAAGGAUGUGGAGAAACACGAUUUGAGGGUUUACUGAUACUCAUGUGAGGGAUCAGAUUAAACACCUGUGAGAGCAACUAGUCAAAUCACACCCUAGCCGAUUACCGGGGGCUCACGACACACCUCCGACGCUUCAGAUCUGUAAUCUGACCCUUUAAUAACAUCCUGCAGGAAGAAAACUGGGAUACGUGUUCAACAACAAGAAUUUCCACAACGUUUGGCUGAUCAGAAGUGAUGGCAGGCUCUGGAUACGGCAGUGAGAGAGGGACACUGGGUGAUUUCACCGGUAAAACACUAUAAACUGCCAUAUCCACACAGCUGCUGCAGAAACACUGAACACGUGGAGAUGAUCCUGAACAGAGCGCAGUGCAGGUGUCUGGAUCUCGAAAGCUCAAACUGCACUGAUUUUGUGGCCACAUUUGCUCUUUUACCUGAUUUGCAUUAUUUAACACUUCACAAUAAGGGUUCAUUUGUUAACUUUAUAAUAAUUACAUUAGUUAAAGACACACUAUGUAAAUUUUCACCGCUAGAGGUCGCCUAUUCAGAACAAAGGUGUAGCUUGAUGACGCCGAGAUUGAGCGCAGAAUCAUGGGAGAUGUCGUCUUCACCUCACAGCUGGUGGAAAAGAAUCCGACGGGAUGGCUUGUGUUGAUAAAUGGCAUGCAAUUAAUUUUAAAACAUAUUGUAUGACGAAGAAAAUGCUGUAUCUGAUUGUUAUUGUAAUAUACUGCUCUGAGACUCGAGGGUUGAGGAUCCAAACGCAGUUUAUUGAAAAGGGGUAAUCCACAAUCAUAAUCUAAAUGUACAGGUCUGGGUCAGAACACAGGCAGUCCAAACAAAGAAACACAAAACAAGGCAGGAACACACAGGGAAAAUAAACCAGGACACAGGAAAACAACAUACAAAGAACCAGAGAAAUGCUCAGAAUUGCAGAUUUACACAUACAAUACUUCACAGGGAAUGACUGAGAGAACCAGGCUUAUACAGGCAGAGUGAACAAGGCUAAUGAGCUAAACAAGGUAACGAGAUAACAAGCUAACAAGGGGGCGUGGUCCAAUGAGUGUCCAUGGUAACAAACAAGGGGAACAGCAGCAGGAAAACAUGAGGUGCUCAAACACCAGAGGAGACACAGGGAACACGGGCAGGGAUCGUCAUGUUAGCCUCUUGACAAAAUAGUGUUUUUCUCUGAGGCAUGAAAACAUGAAGUCACAGAAAAUCAAGAAAACGAGAUUUAAACAAUAAGACUAAACGUGUUGAGCUAUAAAACAAUGAUUCGUUUUCUGUCUAUAAAUGUAACCAAACAGUUGUUCCCUUGUCUAAUAAAACAUGUAAUAUAUUAAAGCGUCUUUGGUAUUUCCAUGGUUUCCACUAAAUAAAACUGGAAACCGAAGGUAACGCGGGUAUGACGUCACUGAAGGGCGACACACGGACACGGCCCGUAUCCUGGUUAAAAUCGCUUAUUUCUCUGGAUUUAAACAAUCUUGGAAACAUCUGGGAUAAUAUAAGUACACAAGUCAACAAAAUAUAUAACGCUGUUCUAGUGGUUUUUGGAUAUUUUAAUCCAAAAAUCUUACAAUAAUUAAUUAAUUAUUUAAUUAAUUUAUUUCAGCAUUUACAGAUACAUGAAAAGACAUUAAAUAUGCAGUAAUAUUAUUGAUCCGACUGACACUAUCAGAUGAGAACAAAACUUGAACUGAAUCGAUCUGAAUAAUUACUCUAUUGUCUUCUGUAGAGCUUCUUUACAGCUGAAAUUGAUUUUUUCCCUCAUAUCUGAUGAAGUUUGCAUCAUUGAUUCUGUUAUUUUCCUGUUUAUUACUGUGAAGCUGCUUUGAAACAGUCUGUAAUGGUUAAAGCGUUAUAGAAUUAAAGCUGACUUGAUAUGAUUAAAAUCAAAAGUUGUAUCUGUUAAUAUUAUUUAAUGGACCUAAACUAACAAUGAGCAGUUUUAAGAUUAAUAAAUAGUGUUUCAAAUGAAUUGCUCAUUGUUAGUUAAUGCAUUAACUAACUCCCUUGUUGUAAAGCGUUACCGUGUCAGUCCUUCAGUCAUUUGUUCAUUCAGAGACCGUAGCGCGUCUCGAGGAGGAAUGUUGUCUGUUCUUCAGCACAGUAAAUGUCUGGGUGGUGUCCUCCUCACGCUCUCGCUCACGGCUGAUUAAUGACCUGUUGUGUUCUGCCGGGAGAGAGAAAUACCCUCCGGCCGCCACACUCCACUAAUGAGUCCAUUAGACCGCGUCCAUUUCAUCCGAAUGUCACUCUCUGACCACAGCUGCUCAUUACACGUAUUAGUUUGGACGUCCUCCGGCAGACACCCACAUGUACAAACUGGCCAUAUAGAUGUGGCUUGAUUAAAACAGUGAUCAAUAUGUCAAGAAAACACGGAGGCUAGUGGUCUGAAUUCAGAUGUUCUGAUAUGGACGAUUCUCACGAGAAAAUGCUGCAUCAUCGAACGCAAUCUCGAGCGCAGGAAUGCGUUCCACUCUUUAAAGACGCACCUGCACAGAAUCACAAUGACUUUUAUUGACCGGAUGAAGCAUCAGAACAUCUUUACCUGAGAUCCUCCUCACGCUGUGCUGGUCAGAAACACGGAGAUGAGCGUUAGUUUAAUUGCCUUUGCAUGAGAAUCUCAAUCGAUAGACCCGAAGAUUCCCAUCUCCGAACCGCCUUCCCACAAUCUUCAUCAGGCCGUCUCAUCUCCUGCCUCAGCGAGUCUGUUUCAGCCCACUUAUGAAUUCAGGCUUGGCCGGGGAGACGGCGGGUCAAUGGAAAGUUCCCCUCCAGUGAAGGUUAAUUAUAUUGCAGCACACGGGGUCCCGUCCGGCAGAAAUGCAGAAAUCCACUCACUGUAGAGAGGCAAUCAAUCGCUAAUACUGGAGCAGAAAAUCCUUAGGCUUCAGCUGACCAGAGCUCCCCUCUUCUUUUAGAUACACAAUGAGCAGAGACGAGGAGAGCAAGGUGAAUUCGCUCAGGGACGACUAUUACUUGAAAAGUGGCUGCCAGGAUAGUGUUUAACUUUAAUGGCUUUUCUGGAAGGAAUAUGCUGCAUUCAGCCUUUUAAACCACUGCCGCCUGCAUUAUCAGGCUUGACCGGCAGAUUCAGCAGGAAAGCCCAGUUACAACCUGCAUAUUGUGUGUCCGAAUAAAUCCUUUGAAAUAAUGAAAUGAUAAUUCAAUUUUAUGUACAGCGAGGACCAAAUGCAUCAGUUGUGCAAUUUAAUACACCUUUUUCAGUGCUAACGAUAGUAUGAAUGUUACAACUUGAGUACAAUUAAAAUGGAUGUCAUAAAGUCUUAGUGUCCUCAGUCAGUGAUUUCAGUGUUUUCACCUCCUAAAGAAAGCAGAAACCAAAUGCAGUUUUUUCAGUAGACCGCAUUUUGCACAUUCGGAUGUGCCGCAAUACAUCACCUGCAAAAGCUGCAUGUUUCAGUCUUCAGACACAGCAAAUGACAAAAAUAUCACCCGAGAAAUAAAAACUCCAUAGCGUUAGCAGCUCCGAGCUGAGAGAGAGAGAGA